Molecule: non-coding RNA, 210 nt
Organism: Pelobates cultripes (western spadefoot toad)
Lineage: Eukaryota; Metazoa; Chordata; Amphibia; Anura; Pelobatidae
Source: the annotation of a GenBank genome assembly
GUCACAUUCAGAACAAUCUAAUUGGGGUAAGAUACCACCACAACAAGAUGUUAUAGGCUUGUUCUAUGUGGUAGACACAAUGUAGAUAGAAGCUGUAGCUUCCCAUAUUCCUUCCCAGUCUUUUAGAUCAAGUGGACAUGUAAGAAAGUGCUCUGGAGGGAAGGUUGUACACUAUAAAAAGAUUGAAAACUGAGAUUUGCCCUCUCAAAG